AUGGCCGCGGCGGGGGGCGCGCUUCCGACCCGGGGGGCGCUGCGGCGGGGGAAGAAGGCUCGGUCAGCGGCCAACGGGGCUCUCCCGGGCGGGGGGCGGCGGAGAGGGCCGGGCCCCUCCGCGCUCACCUGCCGGGAGGAGCCCGCGGCCGCCCCUCCAUCCUUUCCUCCCUCCCUUCCUCCCUCCCUCCAUUCCGGGCAUCCCCGGAGUUUCUCUGUCGGGAGGGGUGGGGGGCAGCUGCAAGAUUCCCCGGCCGGCAGCGCACCUCCCCCCCUCCCCGAUCCCGGUCCCAGAGGACCCCUCCGUUCCCCGGUUACCCGGAGACGCGGCCGCGCUGCCCGGCACGCGGCUCCCCCCGGGCUGCGGCCGCCGGAGCCGGGAGCGCAGCGGCGCGGGGCUGUAAAUCAGGAGGCAAUGAGCGGCCGUGUCAAAGCCCUUUUCUUCCUCCGUGCACUUUACAUCGGGCCCCCGAGUGACGGCCCUCCCCGCCCUGUAACACGAGGAGCAAAGCGUGAAACACUCCAUUGUGACUGCGACUUCUUCAGCCGAGUUUCGAAACCUUCGUUUACCCGGGAGGGACCGCGCAGGGGGAAGCUCCGUUCAAUUAAAAGUUCCGAGCUCCGUUUCCAGCUCCCCGUAUCCCCGGGGGUUCGGGGCCACUCCCGGCGAAGGCUCCGCUGUGCCACAGCCCACGGCCGGAGCGCGCCCGGCCCCGGCGCACGGCGGUCUCCACGGAGGAGGAAGAAAGCGGGCGAAGAAUGUCACCGAGCGGAGCGGCUUGGAGAAAAGUUGGCGGCUCGCUCCCAAAGUUUUUGCUUUCUUUCUUUUUUCUUUCUUUCUUUUUUUUUUUUUUUCCUCGAGAAAGGAAUGAGUAAAUCCAGCACCGAGCCCCUAUGCAGAACGCUGCGUUUCUCCGCUCUUUCCCUGGGUAAUUUCCUCGCAGCGCAACGCAGCGCCUCGAAGCCCACCGGUGCGGGGCUGCGCCUCACCGACACCGCCGUCCCGAGCACCGCACCGCGACCGCGCGCCCUCGCGGCUCUCCCCGCUCCCGCGGCCCCGGCUCGGGGGGCACCGCACGGCCGCGGCGAUGCUCCGUGCGCGGUCCCCGUGGGGCGCAGCUCCGCGCCAGGAGGCGAAGUCACACCGCUGCCAUCCAUCCAUCCAUCCAUCCAUCCAUCCAUCCAUCCAUCCAUCCAUCCAUCCAUCCAUCCCCUCGCCGGCAGCAGCAUCAUUUCCAUGACAACACCCGGCGGAGAAAACCCGGCUCCGGCCGCCGCCCCCCGCCCGGGGCACGGCUCGGUCGGACAGAGGCGGCAUCCCGGGCGCACACACCGGGAGGCGAAAGUUGUCCUCCGCUCGCCGAGCUCCGAGCGCGGCGCCGCAACUUUCCCCGCCCGCCCCGUACGUACUCGGCUGCUGUGGGGGUUCCGUCUUUACAUCCAGGCGCCCGCUCCCUCUCAGGCGCUGUCCAGCGGCCGUGGGGCACGGCGGGGUUGCCGGGCGGCUGCGGCUCCGCACCGCGCGCUCCCCGCGGGCAUGGGAAGGGCCCUCCGGAGCCCCGCGAGCCGCUGCCGGGCGGGCGCCACGCUUCGUCCCCGCGGCGGCUGCGAGCGCCCCGCGGUGCGCGUGCGGCGGUGCCGGGAGAGAGGACGGCGGCGGCUGCUCCGCGCUGCUCUCCGCUGCCUCGCUCGGAACGUCAUUUAUGUGAGAGCGGCCCUAGCGGCCUCUCCAUAG
Molecule: long non-coding RNA, 1734 nt
Filed under: Phasianus colchicus (ring-necked pheasant)
Lineage: Eukaryota; Metazoa; Chordata; Aves; Galliformes; Phasianidae
Description: lncRNA (ENSPCLG00000002703.1)
Source: RNAcentral